Anopheles darlingi is the source of this 672-nucleotide long non-coding RNA. RefSeq lists it as uncharacterized. The transcript is spliced from 3 exons. NCBI's taxonomy places the organism in Eukaryota, Metazoa, Arthropoda, Insecta, Diptera, Culicidae. The record is from RefSeq and is a predicted model, not a curated record.
AACCUCUCACGAUGGAUAUGUGUGAUGAUACAAAGCUUGCGCUAUCGGACCUUCCGCAUAAAAUUUUCAAUCGCUAGAACAACUAUCCAAACUCAAGACCCUUGAAUUAAACGAGUUUAGCGGAUACCUAUUGGAUGAUUUUCAUGGGAGCAAGCUGUUACAAACAUUUGGCAGUGUUCGGUUGAUGGACACGAAUGCCAGUGUGUUAGAUGAUCGCGCGACACUUGCUCCUAAUCUCAGGGAGCUUGGUGGAGAGUAAACAACACCUGGAUCACCGCUGAGGAGCCGUGGCCACACGGGGCGAAAAUUUGCGCGCAAAUUUGCACAUUAAUGCCAAAAUGUUUUCGCUUCGUGUGGCAGGGGUAAAAACCCGAAAAUUUAUGCCGAAAUGUCAAACGUAUUGUUUUCAUCUGUGUUUUGGCCGCUGAAGUUGAUUUCCGAAUAAAUUUUGCAGUUUUUAACGAUAUUGUUGCUGUUGCUGUUAUAUUUAUAUUAAAAAUGCAAAAACAAUACGAAAAGAACCUACAUUUUCGUAAAUAAAGCGUUCGAUAGCGUCAAGGGUUCAGCGAAAAAGUCCGCGGACGUAUAAAAGUUUGACAGCGUGUAAGGGUUAAGCGAAACCGUUUUGGCAUUAAUUUUUUCGUUUGCGCUAGGGUUUUCGCCCCGUGUGGC